Molecule: ribosomal RNA, 498 nt
Filed under: uncultured Glomeromycotina
Lineage: Eukaryota; Fungi; Glomeromycota
Description: partial small subunit ribosomal RNA
Rfam family: Eukaryotic small subunit ribosomal RNA
Source: RNAcentral
CCAAUAGCGUAUAUUAAAGUUGUUGCAGUUAAAAAGCUCGUAGUUGAAUUUCGGGAUCAAGUCGUCGGUCGUGCCCAGGUACGUACUGGCGUCAUUGAUUUCUCCCUUCUGACGAACCAUGAUGUCAUUAAUUUGGUGUUAUGGGAAAUCAGGACUGUUACUUUGAAAAAAUUAGAGUGUUUAAAGCAGGCUCACGCCUGAAUACAUUAGCAUGGAAUAAUGAAAUAGGACGUUCGAUCCUAUUUUGUUGGUUUUAGGAUCAACGUAAUGAUUAAUAGGGAUAGUUGGGGGCAUUAGUAUUCAAUUGUCAGAGGUGAAAUUCUUGGAUUUAUUGAAGACUAACUACUGCGAAAGCAUUUGCCAAGGAUGUUUUCAUUAAUCAAGAACGAAAGUUAGGGGAUCGAAGACGAUCAGAUACCGUCGUAGUCUUAACCAUAAACUAUGCCGACUAGGGAUCGGAUGAUGUUAAUUUUUUAAUGACUCAUUCGGCGCCUUACG